This 495-nucleotide ribosomal RNA is filed under the name uncultured bacterium. RNAcentral's name for it is "partial 16S ribosomal RNA". It matches the Rfam family "Bacterial small subunit ribosomal RNA", at positions 30 to 507 of the family's 1533-position model. The record is from RNAcentral.
UGAGCGCUGGCGGCGUGCCUAAUACAUGCAAGUCGAGCGAACGGACGAGAAGCUUGCUUCUCUGAUGUUAGCGGCGGACGGGUGAGUAACACGUGGAUAACCUACCUAUAAGACUGGGAUAACUUCGGGAAACCGGAGCUAAUACCGGAUAAUAUUUUGAACCGCAUGGUUCAAAAGUGAAAGACGGUCUUGCUGUCACUUAUAGAUGGAUCCGCGCUGCAUUAGCUAGUUGGUAAGGUAACGGCUUACCAAGGCAACGAUGCAUAGCCGACCUGAGAGGGUGAUCGGCCGCACUGGAACUGAGACACGGUCCAGACUCCUACGGGAGGCAGCAGUAGGGAAUCUUCCGCAAUGGGCGAAAGCCUGACGGAGCAACGCCGCGUGAGUGAUGAAGGUCUUCGGAUCGUAAAACUCUGUUAUUAGGGAAGAACAUAUGUGUAAGUAACUGUGCACAUCUUGACGGUACCUAAUCAGAAAGCCACGGCUAACUACGUG